AAUAUUGGUCAAUGGGCGAGAGCCUGAACCAGCCAAGUCGCGUGAGGGAAGACGGUCCUAAGGAUUGUAAACCUCUUUUGUCGGGGAGCAAAGACAGGUACGUGUACCUGGAAGAGAGUACCCGAAGAAAAAGCAUCGGCUAACUCCGUGCCAGCAGCCGCGGUAAUACGGAGGAUGCGAGCGUUAUCCGGAUUUAUUGGGUUUAAAGGGUGCGCAGGCGGAAAGGAAGGUCAGCGGUAAAAUGUCGGUGCUCAACACAGGCCGGCCGUUGAAACUUCCCUUCUAGAGUGGGCGAGAAGUAUGCGGAAUGCGUGGUGUAGCGGUGAAAUGCAUAGAUAUCACGCAGAACUCCGAUUGCGAAGGCAGCAUACCGGCGCCCGACUGACGCUCAUGCACGAAAGCGUGGGGAUCAAA
RNAcentral lists this ribosomal RNA (414 nucleotides) under uncultured bacterium. RNAcentral's name for it is "bacterial SSU rRNA". It matches the Rfam family "Bacterial small subunit ribosomal RNA", at positions 360 to 772 of the family's 1533-position model. The record is from RNAcentral.